RNAcentral lists this ribosomal RNA (529 nucleotides) under Clostridioides difficile. Its description in RNAcentral is "bacterial SSU rRNA". It matches the Rfam family "Bacterial small subunit ribosomal RNA", at positions 117 to 665 of the family's 1533-position model. The record is from RNAcentral. Lineage: Bacteria; Bacillati; Bacillota; Clostridia; Peptostreptococcales; Peptostreptococcaceae.
GUGGGUAACCUACCCUGUACACACGGAUAACAUACCGAAAGGUAUGCUAAUACGGGAUAAUAUAUUUGAGAGGCAUCUCUUAAAUAUCAAAGGUGAGCCAGUACAGGAUGGACCCGCGUCUGAUUAGCUAGUUGGUAAGGUAACGGCUUACCAAGGCGACGAUCAGUAGCCGACCUGAGAGGGUGAUCGGCCACAUUGGAACUGAGACACGGUCCAAACUCCUACGGGAGGCAGCAGUGGGGAAUAUUGCACAAUGGGCGAAAGCCUGAUGCAGCAACGUCGCGUGAGUGAUGAAGGCCUUCGGGUCGUAAAACUCUGUCCUCAAGGAAGAUAAUGACGGUACUUGAGGAGGAAGCCCCGGCUAACUACGUGCCAGCAGCCGCGGUAAUACGUAGGGGGCUAGCGUUAUCCGGAUUUACUGGGCGUAAAGGGUGCGUAGGCGGUCUUUCAAGUCAGGAGUGAAAGGCUACGGCUCAACCGUAGUAAGCUCUUGAAACUGGGAGACUUGAGUGCAGGAGAGGAGAGUGGA